Long non-coding RNA from Limanda limanda (common dab), 377 nucleotides. RefSeq lists it as uncharacterized. The transcript has 4 exons. Lineage: Eukaryota; Metazoa; Chordata; Actinopteri; Pleuronectiformes; Pleuronectidae. The record is from RefSeq and is a predicted model, not a curated record.
UAAGUGCUGGGACCCAUGGUCAGCUGGUCUGGUUUCUGCUACUGAUCAGCUGAUGCCAUAUUUGGUGAUGGACAUCUUGGGAGACUAUCCUGGCCUUCCUGGACUAUUUGUUGCAGCAGCAUAUAGUGGAUCUCAAAGGAGGCUGGGGUCUGAAGGUGGAAUCAAGACUUACAUUAAUGAAAGAGGACACAACUCUUUAUCACCUGAUCAGAUUUAUCAAAAACAGACUAAUGAGACAAACAGGACGACCUGACCUCAAAACGGAUUGCGUCAAAAAGAUUGGCAACACAAAUCCUGCUUUCUGUGAUGUUGAGCUGGACACGACAAAAAGCCACACUCCCUCAUGAGAUGAACAUUUUAUUCGCGAUAUUAUUCUU